GACGAACGCUGGCGGCGUGCUUAACACAUGCAAGUCGAACGGAAAGGCCCUGCUUUUGUGGGGUGCUCGAGUGGCGAACGGGUGAGUAACACGUGAGUAACCUGCCCUUGACUUUGGGAUAACUUCAGGAAACUGGGGCUAAUACCGGAUAGGAGCUCCUGCUGCAUGGUGGGGGUUGGAAAGUUUCGGCGGUUGGGGAUGGACUCGCGGCUUAUCAGCUUGUUGGUGGGGUAGUGGCUUACCAAGGCUUUGACGGGUAGCCGGCCUGAGAGGGUGACCGGCCACAUUGGGACUGAGAUACGGCACAGACUCCUACGGGAGGCAGCAGUGGGGAAUAUUGCACAAUGGGCGGAAGCCUGAUGCAGCCACGCCGCGUGCGGGAUGACGGCAUUCGGGUUGUAAACCGAUUUCGCCUGUGACGAAGCGUGAGUGACGGUAAUGGGUAAAGAAGCACCGGCUAACUACGUG
Molecule: ribosomal RNA, 468 nt
Filed under: uncultured bacterium
Lineage: Bacteria
Description: partial 16S ribosomal RNA
Rfam family: Bacterial small subunit ribosomal RNA
Source: RNAcentral